GAUGAAGAACGUAGCGAAAUGCGAUAAGUAGUGUGAAUUGCAGAAGUACCGUGAAUCAUCGAAUCUUUGAACGCAAAUUGCACUCUCUGGUAUUCCGGGGAGUAUGCCUGUUUGAGGGUCGCUUAACAAACCAUCGAUUUCGUUGCUUUUUUUUUUAAAGUGAUGUUUAUCGGAUUUGAGCCGUCUUUUUUUUUAUUUUUAAGUGGCUUAAAAUUGAUUUUUUUGGUACGAUCGAAGCGUAUUUUUAUGAUCAAUUUUUGGUUAAAGAAACGCACACGUACCGUUAUUUAUAUGAUGUAAUACGUUUGACUAUUGGAUUUAGUUCAUUCGUAUACGAUAUCUUUCAAUAUUUGACCUCAAAUCAGGUAAGAACACCCGCUGAACUUAAGCAUAUCAAUAAGCGGAGGA
This 408-nucleotide unclassified non-coding RNA is filed under the name soil metagenome. RNAcentral describes it as "partial contains 5.8S ribosomal RNA, internal transcribed spacer 2, and large subunit ribosomal RNA". The stretch from base 1 to 121 matches the Rfam family "5.8S ribosomal RNA", at positions 35 to 154 of the family's 154-position model. The record is from RNAcentral.